This 2887-nucleotide long non-coding RNA is filed under the name Ornithorhynchus anatinus (platypus). Its description in RNAcentral is "lncRNA (ENSOANG00000040117.1)". The record is from RNAcentral. Lineage: Eukaryota; Metazoa; Chordata; Mammalia; Monotremata; Ornithorhynchidae.
AUGGGCCCAACGAGGAGAUCGCGCUCGGGAGCGGCUCCUCAGCCCCCCAGCAGAGCGCGGCCGAGAGCUCGGGCCCGAGCCUCCGCCUGCGCGCAGACCGCCCUCCUUCUCCACUCCCCCUUCCACCCUGUGAUUUCCCUGCGACCCAACUGGAUCCGUUUGCACAAGAGGUUCCCUCCGCCACCCCGAGCCCCGCGGUGGAGAGAGAGAGGGAGGCAGAGACAGAGAGAAAGGGGGAAUGAGACCGGGAGGGAAUGGGGCCGAGCUGGGCCGAGCGCCGUGCUCCCUGCGGCUGUGGGACUGGGAUUGGGCCUGAGGUUGGGCCUGGACCUAGGCCUGGGGCUGCGGCGGCGGCCGCAGCUGCGGCUGUUCGGGCAGCGGAGAGCGUUGCAGCUCGGGGCACCGAGGGUCAAGUCACUGGCGUCUGGAUGUGCCCACCGACAUACCACCAUACGCGGUCCAGUUGACUGGAAUCCCACGGGGCACGUUUGGAAAUGCAGCCCGGCGGGAUUCCGGUAUAGUAGAAGCUCAAGUUAAACGCCAUCCUCUGAUCUAUUUGCCCUUCGCUCCCUGCCCCCGAUGCCGCAGGCGGACCAGCGGAAAGCUGCCCGUCUGGGCUCUGCCCCAAAGCCAGCUCAGCCUCGAAGCGGUAGGGAAGUAGAGGGGUUACUUUCACUCAAAUAUUCCGCGUCUUGAGCUUUCCUUUCCUAGCUAAGAUUCUUACCCGGAGACUGGGCAGGGACGGUAAAUAAAAACGCGGGGCUCUACCUCCUGGCUAUCUUUCCUCCUCUUUUUUUUUCUAAAAGACUUCUUUGACUUAAAAUGCUCGCUUCCUAGGGUACCUCUGCCUCAAACAGUGCCUCCGUUACGGCAUCGCUACGGUAAAACCUAAUGUCGCCUCUGUCUCCCCGAUUUUCCCAAAUCUGCAGCACUAUCAGGACCGGUUGAAGCACAACCUUCCAGGCGAGGAUAUGAACUCAUACCGCUUACCGGCGUUUCUACCGCAAUCUCAACAGCUCUGGUGCACUGCCUUCAUUCUCCCUCUUCCAAAAUGGUCCCUUCCCGAUAAUGAGAAAUAAUAAACCGUUAUCAUAAGAAACGAGUUUGUUUGUUUGUUUGUUUUUUAACUGGGUCCCAUGCCCGAAAGAUCCGGUAAACACUGUGUAACCAGAGGGCGUUUUAGCUGCUGUUUAGGGCUUCUUGAAGUAUUGGGAUGGGAGCUUGGGACCGGAGAAAAUAAAUAUUUCAUCCAUUUUUCUGGGUCCAACCUAGUCCAUGUAAACUAAAAGGAAAUCCACAACUUCGCCGUCCUCUCCCAUCCCUGUUAAGAAGGAGUUUUCGUAAGCAGUGAUGUUCUUUCUCGUUUAUGUUUGUAAAAAGUCAACGUGCCCAAGGAGAUAUUCAUUUCAAAGCUUUAAAACGAUCCGAGUCAGAUUUCGCCUCCCCAAAUCUAUUUUAAAAUGUCUACCCCAACGCCCAAGUCAGCACCUUUCCCUGAGUUUCGUGGAUUGUAAUGUCUUCAUUCCACACAAUACCACCCUCGAGUUUAAACCGAGACUACCAUCGGCGUUCAAACCAACGUCCCGCUCGAGUGAGCAAGGCGCACAGGGUCAGAGCUGGGUCUCACUACAGCCACCAAUACUCGGCCAAUUCUGAACCCCAGCGUCAACAAAGAAUUGGGGCCCGAGUACUGAGCAGCACUGGGUACUGCAAAUUCCGUUAUCUGGGCUCAUAAUGGAGUUAGAGCUGGAGAAACCGAGGCCCUUUUUUAUCUUAGAAAUGUAAAGGAUGGCGAACGGGAAAUGGGAAAAAAAAUAAUUAAGGAGAAGAAAGAAAAAACAUGGAUAGCAUGGAAAGAAUUUAAGAAAGAAACAGGGUAGGAAAUUUGGCCCAGAGCAUAUAAAUAGUGAGUUAUGUCCAUUUAAAUCUAGCUGGACGAAAAGACUGAUUUGGAGAUUACUUGAGCCGAGUUCAAGCCUAGUGCAAGCUCUGGAAAAUACCUAUUUACAAAGAGCGGCUUCCAAGAGCAGUUGCAGAAAUAAAACGUGUUUGCUCCCAAAUGGCCUUUUCUCGAACAAAGAGUCCCAGGAGUACGGACUGGAGACUUUGAACCAGAAAACAGUAUGAAAACUUGACGCUCCAGUACAAUGUGCAAAGCAAAAUAGUCCGCCCUAUAGUAGGUUUAGCAAAGGAUUUAUUUCUCUCUCUCUCUCUCUUUCUAACCGAAAACUCAGAUAGAGAUCAUUUCUAGCCACUGCAUUUGACCAGUAACCCUGCGAAAUGACCUUACUUUCUUAAAACUUUCACCCCGCCUUCAGAAUAAUACAGAAUGUCUUGUAUAACUCGAUAUAGACAUUAAGUAUUCAUUUAGUUGAAUUUUCAACUUUAGAACUGUUUCUUUCUCUUCCCCGCCAAGUGAGGAGCUUCUCGAGUGGAGUAAAUACAAAACACUACCCGUAGCCUCGGAGAAACUCUGUGAAAACACUGAAUUAGACUUGAAUUUUUAAACUUGAGGGCACUUACCUUGACGCAUUUCCUAAAUCACUGCCAAGAAGGAUUUCACUUCACCUCGCAGGAACGCCCUUCCCAGCCUCGCACAUAUGUUUUUUUCUAAAAAAAAAAAAAUAAUCUUUCGAGGACACUUUUUCGAAUGGUAGCGUGGAAAGUGGAAUUAUUUAACGUGCUUCUCCUAGGAUCUGUAGUGAACAAAGGCCAAGAUUCUUGCAGCGGUUCGCUUCUCCCCCGGCGGCAUUGACAUUGAUCUGAAGCACGCCAUCUCGUGGUAGCAGAGAUCCUAAGGAGGAGAGACUAAUGAAUUCAAACUCGGGAUUCUAAUAAAGGGAUGCCGGAGAGGGUGCCCAGACCACUGCUAUUCAGAUCUAAUUUU